Molecule: long non-coding RNA, 114 nt
Organism: Rhagoletis zephyria (snowberry fruit fly)
Lineage: Eukaryota; Metazoa; Arthropoda; Insecta; Diptera; Tephritidae
Source: RefSeq, a predicted model, not a curated record
AAAAUAUGUAUGUUCGACAUGAUUUGUUGAUAGGGAAACAAAUGAGCAGCACGUUGCACUUGCACUCUAUUAUACUCAAUUUUAAUGAGCUACAAAACGGCAACCAAAUUUUUU